Long non-coding RNA from Equus caballus (horse), 2278 nucleotides. The record is from Ensembl. NCBI's taxonomy places the organism in Eukaryota, Metazoa, Chordata, Mammalia, Perissodactyla, Equidae.
CAAGAACACUAACGUGGAAAAGUACAGGCCUGUCUAUAAUCUAAUUUAGUCUCAAUCAAAGCAACAGUUUAGUCUCGAUCAAGGUAACCUUACAUGAUUAGAACUCAUUUCCAGGACCAUGAAGCUUUGGUUUCCUGAUUUUUCACAGCAAAUUGCUUUGUGACCUUGAACAAGUUUUUAAGUCUCGCUUCUUCUAAAAUAGUAACAAAACUGGCAUAUCUGAAGACUCUCCUGAGGUGUUCUUGGAAUUGAGUUUCUUAAACAGCAUUGAGAGACUCAGAGAGUCAGUGCAGAGGGAUGGGACAGAGAGCCAAAUCAUCUCAGUAUCUUCCUGCUUCUUUCAUCAAAAUCACUGUAGUCCAAGUUACCAUCAUUUCAUCUGAACUACUGAAAUAGUCACUACAAAGGCUUCCUGGACCUAAUUCCAAUGUAUGUGUGUGUGGAGGCUUCCCCACACCAACAAGCAGUUCUUGGACACCAACAGAGUGUCAGAAAACUCAAUUCUGAUACUAUCUACCUGAGGUAGAAUCAGAUUCCACAGCUUGGUGGUAGACAGCUGAAGCCUUACUGGCCUGAGGCAUCAGAGGACAGAAUCUGAAGCUGGAAGAGCAGCUAAAAUUUAAGAGAAGAACUCCCAAAAGCAACAUGAUCCUGGAGAGGAACCUUCUAGAAUCAGCUGUUUGCAGCUACCUCCCCCCUAAGACUGUGAGGGCAGGGACGGUGGCCUACUCAUAUUUGAAUUCCUAUGGUAAGUAAUUUGUCUGACACAUAGAAGGCUUUGAGGAGAUAAACAAAUAUUCAAAACCUACCAGAGAUGGAGCCGAUAUGAUAGAAUUUGGCUCCAGCAAACCUAGGCAUAGCUCCCCACUUUCAAAUCAUCCUUCAAAAGCCAGGGCAGGCACUCUCCUCUGGUCUGCAUGGUGUCCCAGCAUGCCCCUUUUUGGGCAGUCUUCCCAGUGGGCUCAGUAUUCCGCAUAUUGAAUACUUUCUCCAGUCACUGCUGCCUAUGGUCCCUGUAAGAUAGCAAAAAUGAGCAAGAGUUUUCUUCACUCACACUCAGUGAGGGGUCUCAGUCCCACUCUCAUUGCCUGGUUCUACUCCAGUUCUUCCUGUUCUUAGGCAGACGACAAAAUAGAUAGCUGAUGGAUAAGAGAGGGGAUGAAGGAUAGGAAGGGUGAGAGGGAGAAUGUGGACUCUCACAUUCUUUCUAAUAUAGCACUCAUUACCUCUUUCAACUCUAAUGAUCACAUCUUGAAUGGCAAUAACAGUACUAGGCAGCCUCAUGUACUGGAGUAAAGGACAACACUAUGACUUGGUGUUAGAGAGAACAAGGCCAUAAGCAAAGUCAGAGAGGAAGCUGUUACAGGAACCCAGCUUGGGCUAAAUGUGACCUAGAACAAGGUAGAGACAAUAGAAUUGUGGGGAAGUAGAUGAAUUUGGGAAAUAUGUAGGAGAUAGAAAGUAAGGAGUUGAGUCCUGGAUGAGCCUAUGUUUCUGGCUUAGACAGUUGCAUGCUUGGCUAUGAUAUUUAUCACCGAAGAUCGCUGAAGAAAGAACACAUUUUCAGAGUAAUAAAGAUGAAUAUAGGGUAAAAAUUAAUCAUUUUAAUGGUUCUACUCUGAAUUCUGGUCUCAACACACAAUCGGGCAUUCAAUGUUAACUGGUAACUUUUGUGUAUUUUCUGCGUCAGGCUUAGAUCACAUUCUCCGUGGUGACACCAUCAAACAUUCACUUCUCUCCUCAGACCUGGAUCUGGAAACACCCCACUCCUGCUCCCCCCACCCUCAGAAUCAUCCCAGAGACAAAGCACUUUCUCCACUUUUCAAAGAAAACAGAAACAAUCAGAGAGAGUCCUCCACCCUCUCUACCCUUUCUGUCAUCCCCACUUCCAAUCAUUCUCCAUUCUGUUUGCUUCAAGAUUAUCUUUUGAAUCUCUCCAUUUCUCUCUCUUCCACUAUCACACUAUCGCUCGCCUCACCCGAUCAUUAUUGUCUCUCACCUUGAUUUGUGCAACAGCCUGCUUCCAGGACCCCAGAGUCCUCUCUUGACUCUCUCCAUUCCAUCCUCAACGUUGAACCAGAAUGGUCUUUCAAAACUGCACAUCAAAUGAUGUCACACCUUUGCUUACCACUUCCCAAUGGCUUAUUAACCUCACUUCACAAUGCAGCUCUCUUACUUCUCUAGUUUUGUAUCUUACCAUGUCUCCCUGUUCUCUUCACACUGAUUCAAUUCUUAAAAUGCAUCACAUUUCUUAUAACCUUCGGAUAUUUACAUAUGC